CCUACGGGAGGCAGCAGUGAGGAAUAUUGGUCAAUGGACGAGAGUCUGAACCAGCCAAGUAGCGUGAAGGAUGACUGCCCUAUGGGUUGUAAACUUCUUUUAUAUGGGAAUAAAACGUUCCACGUGUGGGAUUUUGUAUGUACCAUAUGAAUAAGGAUCGGCUAACUCCGUGCCAGCAGCCGCGGUAAUACGGAGGAGCCGAGCGUUAUCCGGAUUUAUUGGGUUUAAAGGGAGCGUAGGUGGAUUGUUAAGUCAGUUGUGAAAGUUUGCGGCUCAGCCGUAAAAUUGCAGUUGAAACUGGCAGUCUUGAGUACAGUAGAGGUGGGCGGAAUUCGUGGUGUAGCGGUGAAAUGCUUAGAUAUCACGAAGAACUCCGAGUGCGAAGGCAGUUCACUGGACUGCAACUGACACUGAGGCUCGAAAGUGUGGGUAUCAAACAGGAUUAGAUACCCCAGUAGUC
This 460-nucleotide ribosomal RNA is filed under the name uncultured bacterium. Its description in RNAcentral is "partial 16S ribosomal RNA". It matches the Rfam family "Bacterial small subunit ribosomal RNA", at positions 338 to 795 of the family's 1533-position model. The record is from RNAcentral.